ACACAUGCAGUCGAGGGGUAUAGGUUUUCGGACCUAGAGACCGGCGCACGGGUGCGUAACGCGUAUGCAAUCUACCUUUCACAGAGGGAUAGCCCAGAGAAAUUUGGAUUAAUACCUCAUAGUAUGUAUGAAUGGCAUCAUUUAUACAUUAAAGUCACAACGGUGAAAGAUGAGCAUGCGUCCCAUUAGCUUGUUGGUAAGGUAACGGCUUACCAAGGCAACGAUGGGUAGGGGUCCUGAGAGGGAGAUCCCCCACACUGGUACUGAGACACGGACCAGACUCCUACGGGAGGCAGCAGUGAGGAAUAUUGGACAAUGGGCGCAAGCCUGAUCCAGCCAUGCCGCGUGCAGGAUGACGGUCCUAUGGAUUGUAAACUGCUUUUGCACAGGAAGAAACAACAUUACGUGUAAUGUCUUGACGGUACUGUGAGAAUAAGGAUCGGCUAACUCCGUGCCAGCAGCCGCGGUAAUACGGAGGAUCCAAGCGUUAUCCGGAAUCAUUGGGUUUAAAGGGUCCGUAGGCGGUCUUAUAAGUCAGUGGUGAAAUCUCCCCGCUCAACGGGGAAACGGCCAUUGAUACUGUAAGACUUGAAUUAUUAGGAAGUAACUAGAAUAUGUAGUGUAGCGGUGAAAUGCUUAGAGAUUACAUGGAAUACCAAUUGCGAAGGCAGGUUACUACUAAUGGAUUGACGCUGAUGGACGAAAGCGUGGGUAGCGAACAGGAUUAGAUACCCUGGUAGUCCACGCCGUAAACGAUGGAUACUAGCUGUUGGGAGCAAUCUCAGUGGCUAA
Molecule: ribosomal RNA, 792 nt
Filed under: unidentified microorganism
Description: bacterial SSU rRNA
Rfam family: Bacterial small subunit ribosomal RNA
Source: RNAcentral